Molecule: ribosomal RNA, 298 nt
Filed under: Ampheres leucopheus
Lineage: Eukaryota; Metazoa; Arthropoda; Arachnida; Opiliones; Gonyleptidae
Description: partial 16S ribosomal RNA
Source: RNAcentral
GCAUAAUAAUUAGUUUUUUAAUUGAAAACUGGAAUGAAAGGUUUAAACUAAAGAGAUAGUUUUAUUUAAUUAUAUUGAAUUUAAAUUAAAGGUAAAAAUGCUUUUAUUAAAUUUUGGGACGAGAAGACCCUAGAAGCUUAAAAUUAAAAUUAAUUUUUAAUUGGGGUAAUGUUUGAAGAGGUAAAUUUUUGAAAAUAAAAAAAUAAAAGAAAAUAAAGUUACUCUAGGGAUAACAGCAUUAUUUAACUAACAAGUUCUUAUUAAUAGUUAAGUUUAUGACCUCGAUGUUGAAUUAAAU